UGAAGACUGAGGUAUCUGUAGAAGUGAGGGU
This 31-nucleotide non-coding RNA is filed under the name Homo sapiens (human). The record is from RNAcentral. Lineage: Eukaryota; Metazoa; Chordata; Mammalia; Primates; Hominidae.